Long non-coding RNA from Solanum stenotomum, 371 nucleotides. RefSeq lists it as uncharacterized. The record is from RefSeq and is a predicted model, not a curated record. NCBI's taxonomy places the organism in Eukaryota, Viridiplantae, Streptophyta, Magnoliopsida, Solanales, Solanaceae. The transcript has 2 exons.
CAAAUUCAAACAUCUCAAGUUCUAAUUCCGGAUUCAAGACUCAAUCUCAAGCAUCAAUUCUCCAUUCCAAUCUUCAUCAAGGAUUCUCCAAAGUUGAGGGACCGGAGCACCGCUUGACCAUCCUCCUCCGCGUGGCUAAUACGAUUUCCUAUCAAGGUUAUUGGUGAGUCCUCCAUUCCGGGGACGUUGCUCAUGAUCUUUUGCUAUGUAUAAGACUUUUCUUUUUAGUUAUGUUUUGACUAUGAGGGUGAGCCCGGUAGUUUGUCUUGGCCCCCGCUAAGUACUCAUGUUUAGAGGUGGUGUUGGACAAGUUGUGUAUUAUGCUUGAGCUUGACUCAUCUAUGGUAUUUAUGUAUCAUUUCUUUUUUUUU